This is a long non-coding RNA of Spodoptera frugiperda (fall armyworm), 691 nucleotides long. RefSeq lists it as uncharacterized. The transcript has 3 exons. The record is from RefSeq and is a predicted model, not a curated record. Lineage: Eukaryota; Metazoa; Arthropoda; Insecta; Lepidoptera; Noctuidae.
AAAAUUUUAUUGCUAUAAUUUUUCUGAAUUUCGGAACGUAUUUAAUAAAUUCUGUUUUAUCUAUGGUAUGGAUAUUUACUUUGCAAUAAUUUUCAUGACAUGAGACUACAUUUUGCUGCAAUUACAAGCGAUUUGAUCUGGUUUUGUUAUAAUUUCGUUUCAAUUUUAUGCGAAUAGGUACUGAGUUUAUAAAAGUAACAUAAUAUUGUCUUGUACUUAUAUAAUUAGUUUUUGUGUAUUUCGGAUUCCGUUUACAUCUAGGUACCUACUAUGUCGGGGUCCUACGAGAAAGCUGGCGUAUCAACGCCACGAAUAUUCAGGCGCCCGUAAAUCGUCAAAACGAGUGAAAAGCGCAUUCAGUUGGAUACAUGUGGACGACAAGAUAGUAAGCUUGUAUGUAAAUUAUAACUCAAGUUGUGGCCAGCUUCAUUGUAAACAAACUUUAGUUUUCAAGUUCAAGGACAAAUGCGUGUCAGUAACAUGGAUAAAUGCUACUUCAUAUGUUUUAUUUCAGUCAAUGAACCUUUGACUGUUAUAGAAGUUUGUCGAGAUAAUAUAAUGACUUUAUCAGCAAUAUGAUGCCAAAGUUAAUACACUUUUUUAAAGAAUGUAUUCUGCCAGAAAUAGUUUUGAGACAUGUUCAAAAAACUGCGAAAUGUAUACCUAGGUAUGAAAGCAGCUGUGUAGCGGU